ACCAUCGUGAAGGAACUUAACAUUCCAAACGUCGGCAACAUCGACACCACGGGGGUCAACCGUAAGCUUUUGUCGGCUGAGGAUAUGCCUGAGUGGAUUAGUCAAGCUGACCGAAAACUCCUUCAAGCAAAACCAAUGGAUUUGAAACCUAACGUUGUGGUUGCUAAAGAUGGUAGCGGGAAAUAUGAUACUAUUAACAAGGCAUUGGCUGAAGUCCCUGUGAAAAGUCCCGAUCGAUUUGUUAUUCACAUUAAGGCUGGUACUUACAAGGAGCAAAUCAACUUGACCAAGAAGAUGACUAAUGUUGUAUUCAUUGGUGAUGGCCCAACCAAGACCAUUAUCACAAAUGACAUUAGCGUCGCUAAGAAUCCACCGGUUAGAACAUACCGCACUGCAACUGUUGGUAAGUAGUAUUAUAUACAUAUAUAAGUUUUGGUGGUGAAGUGUGGUGGCUAACUAGUAUAUAUGUAUGCAUGUUUGUGAAAUAUUUUAGCUGCGGAUGGGGCUGGUUUCAUGGCCAAGGACAUUGGAUUCGAUAACUCAGCAGGACCCGAAGGUCAUCAAGCAGUUGCCUUUAGGGCUACUGCUGAUAGGGUCAUCAUGUUCAACUGCCAUUUCACUGGGGUACCAAGACACUCUUUACGCUCACAGAGAGAGACAAUUAUAUAGCAACUGUCUCAUCACCGGAACGGUGGAUUUCAUCUUCGGGGAUGCGGCGAGCAUUUUCCAGAACUGUAUGCUCGUCGUGAGGAAGCCAGGGCCAGGCCAAAACUGCAUGGUUACUGCACAAGGAAGGAAUGAUCUUGGAACAAACUCAGCCAUUGUGCUUCAAAACUGCACCAUCUCGGGGGCCCCUGAUUACAUCCCAGUGAAGGAUAAGAACAAGGCGUACUUGGGGCGUCCUUGGAAACAAUUCGCUAGGUCCAUCAUAAUGCAAUCUAGGAUCGACGACAUCAUUCAACCAGAGGGUUAUGCCCCCAUGACAGGCACCAUAGGAAUAGACACUUCUUUCAUUGCCGAGUUUGGAAACAGGGGACCCGGUGCCGAUACCAGCCGUAGGGUAGCAUGGAAAGGUAUCAAAAAGAUAGAUAUAAAUGAAGCCAACAAAUGGACUCCUCGCAUCUUUCUCGAAUCCGAGACUUGGAUUCCGAGUUCCAGCGUUCCCUAUAGUCCCGACAUGGUCCCUGGAGUCUAAGCAGCUUAUUAUCAAUACCAACGCCAUUAGUUUGCUUAUUAUCAUAUCAUUGUUGUAAUUAUGUCGUUUUUUACUAAUUAAUUAAACUGUUUUUUUUAUCUUUUAUCUAUCUAUGUAUAUAUAUUGAAUUCUUUGGUUUCCUAAUUGUUGUUUCCAUUCACUUAUUAAUGAUGUUUGCAAAACCCAAAAAUUAAGUCAACGUUUAAAUAUUAUUGAACUUAAUUUAAUAUAAUUUUUUUAAAGAUUAUUUGGAUUGAUAAUGUUGUUUCCCUAAUGUAGAUACAUUCUUUAAAUAGAUUUAAUAAAAUUAUUAUUAUCAAACUUAAUUGCAAGAUUUAAUAAAAAAAUAGUUUAUUUAUAAUAAUUACUAAUAUAAUAUUAAAAAUUAAUAAAAACAAUUAUAUUAUAAAAAAUCAAUCUUAUUUUUUAUUUUUUUAUAUGGACUUAAGCAAGCAUCCCACUCGUGGAAUCAAAGAUUUGAUCAAGCGGUAAAGAUUUUUGAAUUUGAGCAGAACAGAGAAGAACAUUGUGUUUAUAAACAUUUAGGGGAUGAAAAGGUGGUAUUUCUCUUUCUACAUGUCGGGUGAAAUUCUACUAGUUGAGAAUGAUGUAGGGAUAUUGUCAUCGUUUAAACUAUGGUUAACCUAACAAUUUAAGAUGAAGGACCUGUGAGAAGCUAAUUUUGUUCUGGGUAUUCGAAAGAACAAAGUGAUAGCACUAUCGCAAGAUUCAUACAUAGACAAGAUAUUGUAGCGCUAUGUUAUAAGUGAUUUGAAGAAGGGUAAUCAAUCUUCUAAUAUCGAGAAUUCACCUUUCUUUGGAGGAUUGUCUUAAGACACUGGAAGAAAAUGAGAACAUCAGAAAGAUUCAUUAUGCUUCAACAAUAGGAAGUCUCAUGUAUGCUAUGUUGUGCAUGCAACCAAAUAUCUAUUUUGCAGUAGGUUUGGUGAGUCGAUAUCAGGUGAAUCCAAGACUAAGACGCUGACAAACAAUUAGUACAAUUAAUAAUGAUCAAUGAAUAGAAAAUGUUAGGUUUUUUUGUCGGACUCGUCCGUCAGCUUAGUUAAGAUGCAUUGAUGGGCUCCUUGUAGUUCAUUUCUAUCUGUAUUAGUCCAACACCCAUCAUGUCAUUCUAUCUAUCUUGGAUUGUUUCUUUCUCUGAAUUUACCUUUUCAGCUUGCUUUAAUGACCGACAACUUUUCUGUAGGUCACAACGAUUGAUGAUUUGCAACGCCACAUGAUUACACAACCACCGUAGCCUGCACUUAGCAUUUUUGCCUCGUAAUAAGGGUGCAAAGUAUGGUUUAAACUUGUCACUUAUCAUGUCUCUGCUUGUGUCAUUGCUCCAAAGUGGCUUUUCAGAUAUACUUAAGGUAAUGGUUGGCACGGGUGUUGCUGAAUGAAUUAGCUAGUGAAUUUGUACUAAACUUCCUAAAUCUCAGAUCUACAAAUUUUUAAGUUAUUCUAUUUUUGGUUUACUAUAUUGCUUCAUUCGUUGACGACAUGUCUCUUGCAAUGUCAGUGCACUCCGUGAUGCUUAUCGCUCAUCUAUACUUAUUUACUGCCCAACUUGAUUGAGUCUGGCUAUAUGAGCAUAGGUUCUAUCUAUAUAUAUUUUUCCAAUUUUGUUCAACAUCCGAAAAAUUCCUAGGCCUUCAAAUCUCCAAGGUUCAUGGUUAAGGUCUAAAGGUAUGCAAUGGCUAAUCAAUUUAAGUUUAUCAACUAUGUCUAUUAAUUUUUUUCUAUUUUGCCUUGAAAAUUCAUGUAUCAACAGACACUCUUCUACUAGCUCGACCUUAAUUACCAAUGUUUCUAUUGGUUGAUCUGCAUUAUGCUACUAUUAUAUUUCAGCUUUGUUGGUAGAAUCAAAGGGUUUUAGGACAAUGAGUUUCAUGAUGGUCUAAUUCUUUGGCUUGCUAGCCAUUUUCCCCACUAGCUCUAUAUCUUCCCCUUCUGCAGUGGUGUUUAACUCGUCUGGAUACUAUUUUGUCUGCUGAGAUGACUAAUAGUCUAGGAUUUCUACUUCUUCACAAGCGUCUAUAAUUUCAUUCUCUUCUUUGCUCAACUCCGGACUUAGCACAUCAUGGUACCUUUUUGAUGGUAUAUCAUUGUGGUUGUUAUUAUCUUUGGAAAGAUCUUCAUACAACCCUUCUUCAUAAGUAUUUUGAUCAUAAUCAAAGUCCUCGUCAGACCACAUAUAAUAGAAAUCAUUCGUGACUUUGUGCUGACUGAUUAUUUUGUGCCUAGGAUUCCUAAGAAUAAACAAAUGUUAAAAAUUUUAAUUAACAAAAUAAUUUGAAAGUUGUAACUAUAAACCACAAAUUUCCUAAUUAUUCUUUUAAAAUGAAAAAAAUCAAAAUCAAUCUAGUGACGUUACCUCCCCGACAAUGGCGCCAACAACUUGACCACCUUCGGACGUACUAACGCCCAACGUGUGAAUACUGCAAUAAAAUGGAUAAUUACGAGAUGGUAUCCAUAAGUGUAUAGGUCGAGUUGUAAUAUAGUUUUUACAAAGAAGUAGGUGAGUACUCCGAGGAUCGUACCUAGGGGAAGCAAGUGUUAGAUUAAUUCUAACCUAAACAUUAAAAGAUCUAAUUAGUACUUUAAAUAAAUUAUACUACGAAAGUAUAUAAAAAGGGUUUUUAAAGGUUUUUAAUAAUAAUAAAAUCAAAUAACAUAAAAGAAAUAAAACUAAAUAGAUAGAAGAGUAGAGUAAAUUAAAUCUUGAUUAUGGGUGAUUAGCUCGCUUUAGUAAUCCUCAUCAACUGUCACUUCGGGUUCCUUGUCAAUCAACUAGUCACUACCCUAGCAGGAUCUUCUGAUCUUCCACUAACAUAACAAGUCAGCAAGAACUACUUAUCUUCUGACCUCACAGUUCAAACUGGUUUGGGGUAAAGGUGUUCACGAAUGGGAAGUGCCAAUUUUGGAUUAAUUCCCACUUAGAUGACUUUUCGGGGUUGCCAAACCUAGGUUUUUUUUUUAUGUUCUUCCUUUUCCAAAUAGUUGAUCCCUUGAGUAAUCCUACAAAAUAGUUAAUAGAUCGUACAUCCACUCGCUAAUCCCCCAUACAAGGACUAGUUCCUCAUAGCUUUCAUAGACAAUAUAAAAUAAAUAUAAAGAGAAAACAUGCUAAUUAAAACGACAAGAUAAAGUAAAUGAAAAAGUCUGGUUGUAUUGAUGUUAAUUGUGAAUCCCCAAUGUUUGAAUGCUUCCACAAUUCAUAUUUCUUGAAAUCAACAAGAACAACUAAAAGAAAUCUAAAACCUAAUAACGAAAGAAAUUUAAACUGAAUUUUACAAAGAGAACUUAGGCUAAAGGAUUGAUGUCCAUAACAAGUGACAAAUGAGUCUAUUUAUAGCCUUCAGGUGGCCAUCGUCCUUAACCCUAGGUUAGCCGACGUUUCUAAACUUGAAAGUUUGAUUGUGCAGACCAAAAUGCUCUUACUUUGUGUUUUGAUUUCAUCACAGAGUCAAUGUUGUGACACACCAGGAACUGUGUUGCGACAUAGCAACCAGUAUACUCCUCUGCAACUAUCUUUAGUCUGUGCCUCGACACCCUCAGUCUGUGUCACGGAAUUGAUGGUAGUCUUGAACUUUCUUCAUUCUGCUCAUUAUGUUGCGACAUCAAGCAUCGCAUGUUGCAACAUAGUGACCAGUAUCAGUUUAGUAUGCCUUCUAAAAGUCUCCUACACACUCACCAAGUGCGUUAGCUCUCCUUUAGGCCUUAUUCAACCCAUAAGGCUAAUAAAAGACUCAAUUUGCACAUUUUAUUAAAUGUAAAUAAAACUAAGAAAACUUAACUAAAACAUAACGAAAGUGCUUGUAUUCAAACUCUUCAAAUACGAAAACUAGUUUGAUAUGCUACACCGAAUUAUGGUAGAUCAGUUAUGUAUGCAAAAUAUAAAAGACAUAAUAGUGAGAUGUGAAAUUAACUUUAUUUAUUUAUUCAUCAUUCAAAUAAAUAGAAAAUAAUUACAUGUUCACCACAAUAUGGGCACAUUUCCCAACACUCUACUCGUCGGGAACGGCAAGACAUUCGCGUUGUCAGGAAGAGCUUUCGUUUCUCAUUCGGACAAGACUAUCUGUUUAGGCCGAAUAGAGGCAUUCUCCCACAUAUUUGAUGAAACAAUUUAAAUUUAAAUUUAUUUUGUUAUGGUUUUUGGGACUAUAAUAUUUUUUAAUUUUGGGUUAUGGCAUGUGUUCUUUUUAAGUUCGGAUUUUUGCAUGCAUUCAAUUUCAUUAAAUUGAACAAACCAAAUUAAUCUUCUUAACAUCAUAUAAAAUAUGGUUUAGAGUAAAAAAUGAUGGUUUCACCUAAACAAAAAUCAACUAAGUUUACCCAAAAAUGUCACAACACAUAUUAAAUUUGGACUUUUAAGUUUAACUCAAUGUAAAAUCUUAUGUUUUUGAUAAAUAUAUGACUACUACCUAAUUUUUCUAAAAAUCGGAAAAAUAAAAGUUACGAUAACUAAACAGUUCUACUAGACCAUUUUGGUGGCCAAUGUAGCUUUCAAGAUCAAUUAUAAUGCCUGGUUUGGGUCUAGGGAAGUUACAGUUACGGCUGAAAAUUUCAAGCAAUUGGAAAAAGAUGGAGUUGAACAGGUGCUCACGAGAGAAGAUGGCUAGAGACAAUUAAUGCUAACGGCGGGGAAUUGGAAAAAAUUACUAUUGACAAGCAAGUUUUGUCGGAUGUGAGUGAAUAUGUUGAAUUAUGGGGUGGUGAUGGUAGAAAGUCAAAUAUUGAAGGUGACAUGAAAGGGGUGACGUUGCUUAGUACUGAUAACAUAGGUGUAAACGAGACAAUUGAAGUGGGAGUAAAUAACUGGGGCAAGGAAAGUAAGUGUUGGCAAGUCCAAUUUCAAGAUGGAUCGGACACUAGCGUUGGGCUAUUUAGAUGGGAAUAAGGUUACGUUGAAAUAGCUGAGGUGAUGGGUGGAGAUAAUAUAACUGCAGGCAAGGAAUUGGUUGAAAUUACGAAGAGGAAAUUGAAUAGGAGUAUAUAGCCAAAGGAGACAGUAAAGUUUUUUUAGUUACGAGUUUAAGCCUCCACCAAAAAUUCAAUUACAUUAUUUAACGUUGAUCUGAUAACAAAAUGUCCUGCACCAAUUGCGCAAUCUCUAGCCCCUUUAGACAUCACCACAUCUACCGCCUUGUUCGUCAUCCUUGAAGGAGGCAACAAACUUAUUUAAUAAUAUGAUUUGAAUUAAAUAUAUGUUUAAUAUUACUGUACCGCAUUAUUUUACAUCAUAAUAUUAUGAUUAUAAUAAUUAUUAUUUCAAUUUCUACUCAUGCACAGGUUUGCUUUAACAAUAAAGAAUCCAUAUUAAUAGUCAAAAUUUAAACAUAUUAAAUAAAAAUAAAUAAUAAUGCAUUUUUUAAUAUUAUUUUUUAAAAUUAUUUUUAAAUCAUUUUAAAUAAUAACAAUUUAAUUAAAUAUAAAUUUGAGAAUAAAUAUAUACAUUAUUUUAUUAUAUUAUUUAUGAUAUGAUAUGAUAUGAUUUCUUACAAAUGUUUCGAACAACAUUAGUUACCAUUUAAUCCACAAAGCUUUAAUUUAUAAGUGUCAAAGAAAAAUCCUAAAACACCAAAGUUAAUUUUUCGUGGAAUGUGAAAAGAUUUUAAAAAACUAAUAUUUAAUUUACAAUUUAGCAUUUAAAUUAAAUUUAUAUAUUAAUUAUUUCGAUACUUACAAUAUCAAUUUAUUUCAAAAAUAUUUUACUCAAACAUAUAUAAAAUAAGAAAUAGAAGAUUAAAACACCAUAGUUUUAUAGAGCCAUUAAUAUCCAUAAAAUUUAAACAAAUUCUCACAUCCGUAGGGCCCUCUCCACCAUGAAACAUUUUAAACUAAAUGUGGACAUUUUUUCGGUUUUAACUAAUUCAUUUUUUAAUAUAAAUAUGGAACUUCAAUAGCAUAUUAUUCAAGCUUCUGCUCAAGGGGCCAUAAGUGAUAAACAAUAAGAAGCCCCACAACUUCAAAUAAGGUUUUCUUCUUUCUUGCUUUCUUUUCUUCAGGGGGAAAGAAAGAGAGAAGAAGAUACUUUUUUUGAAACAAAAAAAAGUUGUUUAAAAAUGGCGAAUAAUGCUAUUAUUGGUAUUUGUGCGGUGUUCUUGGUGGCCUUGGUGGUAGCCGUGGUGGUGGGUGUUACGCACAUAAAAAAUAAGAGCGAUGGUGAAGAGAUAUCGAGUUCGAACAAAGCUGUGCAAGCCCUAUGUCAACCCACGAAUUAUAAAGAGACGUGCCAGAAAAGCUUGGCGUCAUCAAAUUCUAGCGACGUUAAGGAGCUGAUAAGGACAGGUUUCCAAGCCGGGCUAGUCGAGAUAAAGAACGUGUUAGCCCAUUCAGUGACGGUCCAAGAGUUGAUCAAGGAUGAGAACAACAAAGCGGCACUUGGUGUCUGCCAAGAGGUGUUGGACUUAGCCAUUGAUGACUUUCAAAAGUCAUUCGACAUGCUAGGGGAAUACGACAUGAGCAAGAUCGGAAAAUACCUUUUGGAACUGAAGACCUGGCUAAGCGGUGCAUUCACGAGUCAACAAACAUGUAUAGACUCAUUCGCGGAAUCAAGUAACGAAUCAUCGCAGAAGAUGCAAUCAAUCUUGAAGACUAGCAUGGAGAUUACUAGCAAUGCUUUAGCCAUGCUUAAUGGGUUAUCCACCAUCGUGAAGGAACUUAACAUUCCAAACGUCGGCAACAUCGACACCACGGGGGUCAACCGUAAGCUUUUGUCGGCUGAGGAUAUGCCUGAGUGGAUUAGUCAAGCUGACCGAAAACUCCUUCAAGCAAAACCAAUGGAUUUGAAACCUAACGUUGUGGUUGCUAAAGAUGGUAGCGGGAAAUAUGAUACUAUUAAUAAGGCAUUGGCUGAAGUCCCCGUGAAAAGUCCCGAUCGAUUUGUUAUUCACAUUAAGGCUGGUACUUACAAGGAGCAAAUCAACGUGACCAAGCAGAUG
Molecule: long non-coding RNA, 8142 nt
Filed under: Gossypium raimondii (Peruvian cotton)
Lineage: Eukaryota; Viridiplantae; Streptophyta; Magnoliopsida; Malvales; Malvaceae
Description: long non-coding RNA (GRAI_LNC005036)
Source: RNAcentral